Molecule: long non-coding RNA, 2932 nt
Organism: Hemicordylus capensis (graceful crag lizard)
Lineage: Eukaryota; Metazoa; Chordata; Lepidosauria; Squamata; Cordylidae
Exons: 2
Source: RefSeq, a predicted model, not a curated record
CAACAGCUGUAGCAAAUUUGUUUCAAAUCGAUUAAGCGGUUCACGCUUAAUUUUGAGCCUCAGACGUUUAGAUGUUCACCACUUUGAAUCAGGGUGGAUGACAUCAUCACAAACUAUGCCAUUGGGGUGUCCCCGUGUGUUACUCACUACAACUGUACCAAAUUUGGUUCAAAUCUAUUAGACGGUCUGCAAGUUAGCCCACUUGUACUUUGGACAUUCAUGCAUCCACCAUCUUGAAUCGGGGUGGAUGACAUAAUCACAAAAUAUGCCUUUCCCUAUGUGUCUCUACAGUUGUAGCAAAUUUGGUUCAAAUUGGUUAGGUGGUUCACAAGUUAGCCCACUUGUGCCUCAAAUGUUUAUGCAUCCACCAUCUUGAAUCAGGGUAGAUGACAUCAUCACAAACUAUGCCAUUCAGGUGUCCCUACAACUGUACCCAAUUUGGUUCAUAUUGGUCCAGGCAUUGCAAAAUUGAUACAGACACACACACACACAGCCGGGUGAUACUGGAAAGUAGGCUAAAAAUAGAUGUUUCAGCUCUUCAAACCAAAGUGAUUGAUUUAGAGAAGAGGCAUUGGGAUGGGGGGACUGAAAAAUGUGGAGUACCAGAGAAAUCAAAAUGGGAUGCCCCCUUGCAGUGGUAUAACAAGCUCGGGAGGGGCCUGUGUGCAAUAAUUGAACAUGGGCCCCAUCAGAUAAUUUCCCCAUAAGGAUCAAUUGGAAACUCAGAAAGAUUAAUAACUCUGGAAAUUAUCAGCAAACAAGAACUCCUAGGAUAAGAAUGGUAUAAAACACACAUUUGUCAUGAAGAUAGAUGCCCUCUAGCUAUGUCUCUCCCAGAGCUGAAGGGUGGUGCUUUGCUCCACCUCUGCAGGUGGCAAUUAUGACAUCGCCUGUGGUUUCUCUCUUAUGAUGUGCUCAUUGUCUCCUUGGUGAUGGCUAAAGCUCCAUCACCAAGCUUUAGCUAUCCAGGUGUUGAGGAUGCAGGGGAAGAUGCAGCAUUUCACAGGGGCAGCUUCGUUUUCCUCCUCCUAUCCCAAGAAGAGAUGGGAUAAUCAUGGCAAAGCAGUUGUGCUCCUUUAAAAUAUACAAAUGAGUGGUAAAGCUGCCAGAGACAUUGGGGAAAAGAUACUAUGUUGCCUGGAGAAAAAUCUUCACCCUGGAAAUAGACCAACUUGAACAGGAAACUACAGACAAUGGACAACAAUAAGAAAAUCUUCAUUUUGGGAAUCAUCUGGAAAAGCUUAAAAAACACCCAUAGAUUCCAUCAGCAAAAAACUUCAGAUAUAUCAACAACACAAAGUUAAGUGAGUUAAUGCUAAAGAAAGCAGCCAUUUGAUUUACUGGCAACACCAUCAUAAUGUGCUUUGUUAGCUUGAGAAGGCAGGGGAAAGGAAGCUCUGCUGGGGCUGAUGUGCCCCAUUGUCAGCAUUGGCCCCUCCGACAUGUCUGAUGUCAGACACAGGGGAUGUAGGUUGGGGUGCAUGCGUGAUGGGUAGAACCUAGGGAGCAGGGGAGCCACCAGAGGACUUUGUCCUCUGGCCAUGGAGUUCAGCUGGGUCUCCACUUCUUCCCCCUAUUUCUUUGGCCCUUUUAAGUAUGUCCAUGUUUGCUGGAAACUGCAGAAGCUUCAAAAUUAGUCUUGGAGAUGGCUUUCCCACCUGAGGCACAGGUCUCAGGGCAGGGGUUCAGUCCAUGUUAAAUGCAAUAUUUGAGAUGUGCCGGGCUAGUGCUUUUUUUUGUUUUUACCUCUCAUUCUUUUAUUUAUGUUCCCCAGGACAGUAACAAUAUUUAUCCAAAUUAGUAGGAUUAUUUUCAGUUUCAAAUAUUUAACAUGGACUGAGAUCAUGAUCCAGCUGGGAAGGAAACAAUAAACAGCAGAGCUCAGGUGUGCAUUUCUGUGCAUACUAUUCUGAGAGGUCCUGCCAGAAAGCCCAUUUGCCACAACUUAAAGUGGACAGAUUUGCAAAUAAUCACAAAGCACCUUUGUCACAAGCACUAUGGUCAUGUGCAUCAGGCAACAGGUGAUGUCUUACUAUUAAUUUUUAAAAUGUAUAUCCCACCUUACUUUUAAAAAAACCAAGGUGGCAUACACAACAAAAUUUAAAACAUUAUACAAUAUAAUACAGAAAAAGAGACCUGUCUGAUAAGAAAAAUAGAGGGACAAGAACAUCAAAUAAGCUCAGGGAAUUCCAAAUGCAAAAGAUAGGUCUUACUGGCCACCCAAACACCCCCCCAAGUGGAGGCUAGUUGGAUCUUCCAGGAUGGGGAGUUCCAUCACGUAAGGACAGAAACCAAAUAGGCCCUCCAUUUUUUUUAGCCCACCUAGUAAAGUUCAUUGCAAUGGUAAGACUUGAAUUCAUACUUCUCAGGUCCAAGCAAUGAUAUCUCCACUGAAUAGCAUUUCUUUUGAAGUUAUAAAGCUGUAGGCCUGGUUGGAAAGAGGAAUUUAUUUGAAUUGGACUUACUAUCAAGUUCUGAAACUUUGCUUUUGCCCCAUAAUAUCCCAAGGCACCAUAAGAAAGAAUAAGAAAUACCAUACUAUUCUGAGAGAGUCUUAAUCUAUCUGUUAGUCUGAACAAGUGAUUUAAUUAUUGGGUUCCUAAAAACCAAAUAAGAUGUUUUAUUUGCCACAACCUCUAAAAUAUUUUUAAAUGGUGCAUUCUUUUAGGCAGCAAACAAUCAAAUUGGCUGAACUCAAUGAGAAACCUAACUGUUUGUUCAAAAAUUUCUAUUGAAGUGCAAACAGUCAUAACACCAGGACUAUUAAUUUGUUUUGAAGCAGACAAACUGAAACCCAUUCCGAUACACAGAAUUAGAGAAAAGAAAUAUUGAGAUUGGCAAAAUGUUUAAGUGAACCCAAAUGUCACAACAUGUUUUUAUAUAUCACCGACCUUUGUGCUCAGCAGGCAGAAAUAAAGUGGUGUAACUUGAA